CUUAAGUGGGGAAUAACGCAUCGGAAGGUGUGCUAAUACCGCAUAAUCUCUGAGGAGAAAAGCAGGGGAUCGCAAGACCUUGCGCUUUUGGAGCGGCCGAUGUCUGAUUAGCUUGUUGGUGAGGUAAAAGCUUACCAAGGCUUCGAUCAGUAGCUGGUCUGAGAGGACGACCAGCCACACUGGGACUGAGACACGGCCCAGACUCCUACGGGAGGCAGCAGUGGGGAAUUUUGGACAAUGGGGGCAACCCUGAUCCAGCCAUGCCGCGUGAGUGAAGAAGGCCUUCGGGUUGUAAAGCUCUUUCAGCCGGAACGAAACGGUUACGGUUAAUACCCGUGACUACUGACGGUACCGGAAGAAGAAGCACCGGCUAACUACGUGCCAGCAGCCGCGGUAAUACGUAGGGUGCGAGCGUUAAUCGGAAUUACUGGGCGUAAAGCGUGCGCAGGCGGUUUUGUAAGUCAGAUGUGAAAUCCCCGGGCUUAACCUGGGAACUGCGUUUGAAACUACAAAGCUAG
This 518-nucleotide ribosomal RNA is filed under the name uncultured bacterium. RNAcentral describes it as "bacterial SSU rRNA". It matches the Rfam family "Bacterial small subunit ribosomal RNA", at positions 131 to 644 of the family's 1533-position model. The record is from RNAcentral.